This 517-nucleotide ribosomal RNA is filed under the name uncultured bacterium. RNAcentral's name for it is "partial 16S ribosomal RNA". It matches the Rfam family "Bacterial small subunit ribosomal RNA", at positions 30 to 507 of the family's 1533-position model. The record is from RNAcentral.
CGAACGCUGGCGGCGUGCCUAAUACAUGCAAGUCCAGCGAGUCUGCCUUGAAGAUCGGAGUGCUUGCACUCUGUGAAACAAGAUACAGGCUAGCGGCGGACGGGUGAGUAACACGUGGGUAACCUGCCCAAGAGAUCGGGAUAACACCUGGAAACAGAUGCUAAUACCGGAUAACAACAGAUGAUGCCUAUCAACUGUUUAAAAGAUGGUUCUGCUAUCACUCUUGGAUGGACCUGCGGUGCAUUAGCUAGUUGGUAGGGUAACGGCCUACCAAGGCGAUGAUGCAUAGCCGAGUUGAGAGACUGAUCGGCCACAUUGGGACUGAGACACGGCCCAAACUCCUACGGGAGGCAGCAGUAGGGAAUCUUCCACAAUGGACGCAAGUCUGAUGGAGCAACGCCGCGUGAGUAAAGAAGGGUUUCGGCUCGUAAAGCUCUGUUGUUGGUGAAGAAGGACAGGGGUAGUAACUGACCUUUGUUUGACGGUAAUCAAUUAGAAAGUCACGGCUAACUACGUG